AGUCUGGUGCCAGCAGCCGCGGUAAUUCCAGCUCCAAUAGCGUAUAUUAAAGUUGUUGCGGUUUAAAAGCUCGUAGUUGGAUCUCGGCGGGUAGGGGACGGUUCGUUGUUUGACGCUACUGUCCCAUUCGCCCGUGAAUGGUGUGGCGGAGGUUCCAGGGUGCUCUUAAUCGAGUGUCCUGGGAUGCCGUCAGGUUUACUUUGAAAAAAUUAGAGUGCUCAAAGCAGGCUUUACACGCUUGAAUAUUCGUGCAUGGAAUAAUGGAAUAGGACGUCGUUUCUAUUUUGUUGGUUUUCAGAAAUCGACGUAAUGAUUAAUAGGGACAGUCGGGGGCAUUAGUAUUCAGACGACAGAGGUGAAAUUCUUGGACCGUCUGAAGACUAACUACUGCGAAAGCAUUUGCCAAGAAUGUUUUCAUUAAUCAAGAACGAAAGUUAGAGGUUCGAAGGCGAUCAGAUACCGCCCUAGUUCUAACCAUAAACGAUGCCAGCUAGCGAUCCGCAGCUGUUUUUACAUUGGGCUCUGCGGGAAGCUUCCGGGAAACCAAAGCGUUUGGGUUCCGGGGGAAGUAUGGUUGCAAAGCUGAAACUUAAAGGAAUUGACGGAAGGGCACCACCAGGAGUGGAGCCUGCGGCUUAAUUUGACCCAACACGGGAAAUCUCACCAGGCCCGGACACUGGAAGGAUUGACAGAUUGAGAGCUCUUUCUCGAUUCGGUGGGUGGUGGUGCAUGGCCGUUCUUAGUUGGUGGAGUGAUUUGUCUGGUUAAUUCCGAUAACGAACGAGACUCUGUCCUGCUAAAUAGUUCCAGCGUCCUUUGUUGCGCUGGAAAUUCUUCUUAGAGGGACUGGCGGCGUCUAGCCGCACGAGAUUGAGCAAUAACAGGUCUGUGAUCCCUUAGAUGUUCUGGGCCGCACGCGCGCUACACUGAAGGGAUCAGCGUGUCUUCCCUUCCCGAGAGGGACGGGUAACCCGCUGAACCCCCUUCGUGGUAGGGAUCGGGGCUUGCAAUUAUUCCCCGUGAACCAGGAAUUCCCAGUAAGCGCAAGUCAUAAGCUUGCGUUGAUUACGUCCCUGCCCUUUGUACACACCGCCCGUCGCUACUACCGAUUGAACGUUUUAGUGAGGUAUUUGGAUUGGACCUCUGGGGAUUCGCGUCUCUAGUCCGUCCGAGAAGACUCCCAAACUUGAGCGUUUAGA
This 1199-nucleotide ribosomal RNA is filed under the name metagenome. Its description in RNAcentral is "SSU rRNA". It matches the Rfam family "Eukaryotic small subunit ribosomal RNA", at positions 558 to 1777 of the family's 1831-position model. The record is from RNAcentral.